RNAcentral lists this ribosomal RNA (253 nucleotides) under uncultured bacterium. Its description in RNAcentral is "partial 16S ribosomal RNA". It matches the Rfam family "Bacterial small subunit ribosomal RNA", at positions 524 to 776 of the family's 1533-position model. The record is from RNAcentral.
UACGGGGGGGGCAAAUGUUGUUCGGAAUCACUGGGCGUAAAGAGCUCGUAGGCGGUCUGUCGCGUCUGCUGUGAAAACUCGGGGCUUAACCCCGGGCCUGCAGUGGGUACGGGCAGACUAGAGUGCGGUAGGGGAGACUGGAAUUCCUGGUGUAGCGGUGAAAUGCGCAGAUAUCAGGAGGAACACCGGUGGCGAAGGCGGGUCUCUGGGCCGUAACUGACGCUGAGGAGCGAAAGCAUGGGGAGCGAACAGG